ACUGAGACACGGCCCAGACUCCUACGGGAGGCAGCAGUGGGGAAUUUUGGACAAUGGGCGAAAGCCUGAUCCAGCAAUGCCGCGUGUGUGAAGAAGGCCUUCGGGUUGUAAAGCACUUUUGUCCGGAAAGAAGUGGCUCUGGUUAAUACCUGGGGUCGAUGACGGUACCGGAAGAAUAAGGACCGGCUAACUACGUGCCAGCAGCCGCGGUAAUACGUAGGGUCCAAGCGUUAAUCGGAAUUACUGGGCGUAAAGCGUGCGCAGGCGGUUGUGCAAGACCGAUGUGAAAUCCCCGAGCUUAACUUGGGAAUUGCAUUGGUGACUGCACGGCUAGAGUGUGUCAGAGGGGGGUAGAAUUCCACGUGUAGCAGUGAAAUGCGUAGAGAUGUGGAGGAAUACCGAUGGCGAAGGCAGCCCCCUGGGAUAACACUGACGCUCAUGCACGAAAGCGUGGGGAGCAAACAGGAUUAGAUACCCUGGUAGUCCACGCCCUAAACGAUGUCAACUAGUUGUUGGGGAUUCAUUUCCUUAGUAACGUAGCUAACGCGUGAAGUUGACCGCCUGGGG
RNAcentral lists this ribosomal RNA (567 nucleotides) under uncultured Ralstonia sp. RNAcentral describes it as "bacterial SSU rRNA". It matches the Rfam family "Bacterial small subunit ribosomal RNA", at positions 318 to 878 of the family's 1533-position model. The record is from RNAcentral. Lineage: Bacteria; Pseudomonadati; Pseudomonadota; Betaproteobacteria; Burkholderiales; Burkholderiaceae.